UUCCAAUAUAAUGAAUGAAUACUAGUGGAGAUUGACAACCCAACUUUCCAAACCCUAAGUCCAACAUCAUUGCAUCAUUUUUCUUUACAGAAGGGUAUUUUUACCUGACAUCUAUAUCCACUCGGAUAUAUGCAACCAUUUUUUUUAUUUUGGGAACUUUAGGAAAACUUAGCCCCUCAAAUGCCCAAUCUGAAAUUCAUGCUACUAGAUUUGAACCCAGAAUCUUAGGUGCCACUCAGGUCACUAUAACCAUUAGGCUAU
This 261-nucleotide long non-coding RNA is filed under the name Oryza brachyantha (malo sina). RNAcentral's name for it is "long non-coding RNA (OBRA_LNC003068)". Lineage: Eukaryota; Viridiplantae; Streptophyta; Magnoliopsida; Poales; Poaceae. The record is from RNAcentral.